RNAcentral lists this long non-coding RNA (407 nucleotides) under Oryctolagus cuniculus (rabbit). RNAcentral's name for it is "lncRNA (ENSOCUG00000032675.1)". The record is from RNAcentral. Lineage: Eukaryota; Metazoa; Chordata; Mammalia; Lagomorpha; Leporidae.
GUUAGCAGGACCACUUUCGUAACUCCAACUUACACGACUAUCUAUCCCAGGAGGUUCUCAACAAAUCCGUGGUAUGCAAAUGACUAAGAGCAAAGAAAAGGAAAAUUACAGAACCAAACAAGAACAGCAGAGUGACUCAUUGAUGGAGCCUGCUCCCAUUCGUGUACUUUAUCUAUGGCUGUGUUUUGAUUCUAAUCCCACAUGGAGACAAAACCUGCAAUAUCAAUGGCUGGGGACCCUUCCCUACAACAAGAUCACCCACCUUUUGACUUACAAUUUGUCAUCAAGAGGCAGCCUCAGAUUUCUGCAGUAGAGCAGGGUCUGAUAAACACCUCCCAGUGCCACCAGGAAAGCAGAGGUAAUCUUUGAGAAAUAAAUAAAUAAAUAAAUUCUAAAAAAGCUCUGGA